RNAcentral lists this ribosomal RNA (481 nucleotides) under uncultured bacterium. RNAcentral's name for it is "partial 16S ribosomal RNA". It matches the Rfam family "Bacterial small subunit ribosomal RNA", at positions 28 to 507 of the family's 1533-position model. The record is from RNAcentral.
GAUGAACGCUGGCGGCGUGCUUAACACAUGCAAGUCGAACGAAGCACUUUAUUUGAUUUCCUUCGGGACUGAUUAUUUUGUGACUGAGUGGCGGACGGGUGAGUAACGCGUGGGUAACCUGCCUUGUACAGGGGGAUAACAGUUGGAAACGGCUGCUAAUACCGCAUAAGCGCACAGCAUCGCAUGAUGCAGUGUGAAAAACUCCGGUGGUAUAAGAUGGACCCGCGUUGGAUUAGCUAGUUGGUGAGGUAACGGCCCACCAAGGCGACGAUCCAUAGCCGACAUGAGAGGGUGACCGGCCACAUUGGGACUGAGACACGGACCAAACUCCUACGGGAGGCAGCAGUGGGGAAUAUUGCACAAUGGGCGAAAGCCUGAUGCAGCGACGCCGCGUGAGCGAAGAAGUAUUUCGGUAUGUAAAGCUCUAUCAGCAGGGAAGAUAAUGACGGUACCUGACUAAGAAGCACCGGCUAAAUACGUG